UACGUAGGGUGCAAGCGUUGUCCGGAAUUAUUGGGCGUAAAGAGCUCGUAGGCGGUUUGUUGCGUCGGCUGUGAAAUCCCGAGGCUCAAACCUCGGGUCUGCAGUCGAUACGAGCAAACUAGAGUGUUGCAGGGGAGACUGGAAUUCCUGGUGUAGCGGUGAAAUGCGCAGAUAUCAGGAGGAACACCGGUGGCGAAGGCGGGUCUCUGGGCAAACAACUGA
RNAcentral lists this ribosomal RNA (222 nucleotides) under uncultured bacterium. Its description in RNAcentral is "partial 16S ribosomal RNA". It matches the Rfam family "Bacterial small subunit ribosomal RNA", at positions 524 to 743 of the family's 1533-position model. The record is from RNAcentral.